This 88-nucleotide transfer RNA is filed under the name Candidatus Bathyarchaeota archaeon. RNAcentral's name for it is "tRNA-Ala". It matches the Rfam family "tRNA". Rfam says of the family: Transfer RNA (tRNA) molecules are approximately 80 nucleotides in length. Lineage: Archaea; Thermoproteati; Candidatus Bathyarchaeota. The record is from RNAcentral.
GGGCCUGUAGUGUAAUGGUACGCUCAAAGCAUGAAAACACGCCUCCUUCGCAAGGAGGAGACUCUGGGUUCGAAUCCCAGCAGGUCCA